AAUUACAAAGGGAUAAGAUUGAAAGGCAGGAAACCAACUACGAGUCCACGGUAAAAGUUGAGAUGAGCUAUAAAGAUGCUCAAGAAGAAUGACAGAGAAACUGAUGGAAACAAGACUUACAAGUCAAUAAAUGUCCCAAAAGUCUACUCCCAAGACCUAUCAGCUUGACUAAGAAUCUGGAAAACUUGCUUUCUCAUCCGCUCAUUCUCCACGCACAUUUGUCAAAAGCCUCCUAUGACUCAGCUUCCCGCCAGGUACUAUAGUGGAGAAUGCAACAAACGUUCCUUGCAGCUAGGGAGGUGGACACCUUUCUAAUCCUGGACGCUCAAAGUGCUGCUGUGACAAAAUGAUGCUGAUCCGUGAAGUUCAAGUGAAGCCCAGAUUAUGAGGUCACCAAUCUGCCACAUGGCCUACCCAUGCACCCAGUUCUUACCCCUCCAGAUAAGUGCAGGAGCUCCUCCUUUAUUUCAUUCCAGAUGAUAACGUUCUUUCUUAGGAAGGAAUCAUGAGGGGAAUUUUUGGUGUUUUCCUCAGUUGGAUGUCUUCUGUGCUACAUCCACCAAAACUUUUGCAAAAUUUCCCAUAAUUUUGUUGGGCCAUUUCCCUAGCUUUCAGUUCCUCCCUGCCGACUGCAUACCUUUGUUAUUUCUUUAAUAGGGACUUGGCUAGAGAUGGAGUGGAGAGUUUAAAAAGAGUUUAAGAGGAGAUAGAUGUCUAUGCUCACACUGAUGUCAAAUCCAAAUAUCUGGGAGUCAGGUUUAGUAGAUACACCUUGCUGUACUUUUGCCUGUGCCUUAUCUGUUAAAAGGUACCCUUGUUUGCAGGGAAGGAUCUAUCUGUGCGUGGCACAUGGUCCAAGUCAACAAUAGUCAGUGUUUUCAGGUGAACACAUAUAGGAGUGCCCUCCUCUCAAUAUGUAGACUCAUUGAAUAAACACAAAAGAGCUACCAAACUUAGGGGGGAAAAUACCAUUUGGACCCCAUUGAGGCAAAUAUUUUUUUUUCUUUUUUUACUGUAAGUUUAGCUAGCAUAUGAAACAAGUACUUCUGUAUUUAAAAGAAAACAGAGAAAUACAUGAAUGAUGGAUUAAUUAAUUGAUUUAAAAACUAUUAAAAUGUGUGCCAAACUAAAAGCUAAGGUAACAAAUUAGUGAAGAUCUUUACUGUCCUCCUGUGAUAUUUCUUUGUUGGGAGGUGGAGAGGUCAGAGAUGGUAUUAAAGUAACCUACAUUGUUUUUGUGGUUUAAAAUUAUUCUACAACUCAUGAA
Molecule: non-coding RNA, 1267 nt
Organism: Microcebus murinus (gray mouse lemur)
Lineage: Eukaryota; Metazoa; Chordata; Mammalia; Primates; Cheirogaleidae
Source: RefSeq, a predicted model, not a curated record